Molecule: non-coding RNA, 787 nt
Organism: Microcebus murinus (gray mouse lemur)
Lineage: Eukaryota; Metazoa; Chordata; Mammalia; Primates; Cheirogaleidae
Source: RefSeq, a predicted model, not a curated record
AGGCUCUACGUUCUAAGUACAGAACCGACCGUGGUGCUGCAGGCUGCAGACCUCACAGUCAGAAGAGGAUUUUCACGUCCCCUCUGCAGCCUGGCAGUGUGCCCUGCCCAUCUUGGUCCCUGCUCCUGCUCCGGGGGCCUGGCCUCUGCUGACAUCUCACUCCGCAGGACUGGGGCAUCCCCUGCUCCCACCAUGCCUGGCAGCCGACCCGCUCACUCUGGGCGCCACUUCUUCCCUCAUGCACACCCAGCCAUGAGCCCCAGAAAUCCAAGGCGGAGGGUUUGUUGGCUUUUCAUGGAGAAUCAAGGGAGAGACGGCUGGUACCAGCGUGACCUCAAGGAGCCUCCGCUGCCAGAAAGAGGAGCGUGACCAAGAAACCACAGAAGACUCAGGCAAACGCUUAUUAAAAUGCUUACCUUAUAAGGAGAAGGAGAGAACAGGAGAGAGGAAAAAACUGAGAAGCAAAAACAACCCAGUAGCAAUGUGUGCGCUAACCCCAGACUGUGGCCCCUAAAUAUUAUUUCCUGCUCAAGGAAUCACGAAUUCUUUGAUUCCGAGUCUGAGGAAGGCAAUGCACAGAUGAGCUUGAGGCAUCUCCUGCAGCCUGAAAGCAAGGAAGUCACCAAAGGCCACUGGGUUCUGCGGAAAGAGCCCAAGAGCCGAUGAAGAGCGGCUCCUAUUGGCCAAAGAUGGAAGAAUUUGAGUCAAUAAAUAAUGACUUAAUAAAUUCAAGCAGAACAAAUAUAUAAAAAUAUAUAUCUGUGAGUUUACAAUGGUAAAAAAAAAA